UACGUAGGGUGCGAGCGUUAAUCGGAAUUACUGGGCGUAAAGCGUGCGCAGGCGGUUAUGCAAGACAGAUGGGAAAUCCCCGGGCUCAACCUGGGAACUGCAUUUGUGACUGCAUGGCUAGAGUGCGGCAGAGGGGGAUGGAAUUCCGCGUGUAGCAGUGAAAUGCGUAGAUAUGCGGAGGAACACCGAUGGCGAAGGCAAUCCCCUGGGCCUGCACUGACGCUCAUGCACGAAAGCGUGGGGAGCAAACAGG
This 253-nucleotide ribosomal RNA is filed under the name uncultured bacterium. Its description in RNAcentral is "partial 16S ribosomal RNA". It matches the Rfam family "Bacterial small subunit ribosomal RNA", at positions 524 to 776 of the family's 1533-position model. The record is from RNAcentral.